UACGUAGGCAGCAAGCGUUGUUCGGAAUUACUGGGCGUAAAGAGUGUGUAGGCGGUGUUCUAAGUCUGUUGUGAAAUCUCCCGGCUUAACUGGGAGGGUGCGGCGGAAACUGGAAUGCUAGAGGAUGGGAGAGGUAAGCGGAAUUCCUGGUGUAGCGGUGAAAUGCGUAGAUAUCAGGAGGAACACCUGUGGAGUAGACAGCUUACUGGACCAUUUCUGACGCUGAGACACGAAAGCGUGGGUAGCAAACAGG
RNAcentral lists this ribosomal RNA (253 nucleotides) under uncultured bacterium. RNAcentral describes it as "partial 16S ribosomal RNA". It matches the Rfam family "Bacterial small subunit ribosomal RNA", at positions 524 to 776 of the family's 1533-position model. The record is from RNAcentral.